GGCGUAUUAGCUAGUUGGUGAGGUAAAGGCUCACCAAGGCAGUGAUACGUAGCCGACCUGAGAGGGUAAUCGGCCACAUUGGGACUGAGACACGGCCCAGACUCCUACGGGAGGCAGCAGUAGGGAAUCUUCCACAAUGGACGCAAGUCUGAUGGAGCAACGCCGCGUGAGUGAAGAAGGGUUUCGGCUCGUAAAGCUCUGUUGUUAAAGAAGAACGUGGGUAAGAGUAACUGUUUACCCAGUGACGGUAUUUAACCAGAAAGCCACGGCUAACUACGUGCCAGCAGCCGCGGUAAUACGUAGGUGGCAAGCGUUAUCCGGAUUUAUUGGGCGUAAAGCGAGCGCAGGCGGUCUUUUAAGUCUAAUGUGAAAGCCUUCGGCUCAACCGAAGAAGUGCAUUGGAAACUGGGAGACUUGAGUGCAGAAGAGGACAGUGGAACUCCAUGUGUAGCGGUGAAAUGCGUAGAUAUAUGGAAGAACACCAGUGGCGAAGGCGGCUGUCUGGUCUGCAACUGACGCUGAGGCUCGAAAGCAUGGGUAGCGAACAGGAUUAGAUACCCUGGUAGUCCAUGCCGUAAACGAUGAUUACUAAGUGUUGGAGGGUUUCCGCCCUUCAGUGCUGCAGCUAACGCAUUAAGUAAUCCGCCUGGGGAGUACGACCGCAAGGUUGAAACUCAAAAGAAUUGACGGGGGCCCGCACAAGCGGUGGAGCAUGUGGUUUAAUUCGAAGCUACGCGAAGAACCUUACCAGGUCUUGACAUCUUCUGACAGUCUAAGAGAUUAGAGGUUCCCUUCGGGGACAGAAUGACAGGUGGUGCAUGGUUGUCGUCAGCUCGUGUCGUGAGAUGUUGGGUUAAGUCCCGCAACGAGCGCAACCCUUAUUACUAGUUGCCAGCAUUAAGUUGGGCACUCUAGUGAGACUGCCGGUGACAAACCGGAGGAAGGUGGGGACGACGUCAAAUCAUCAUGCCCCUUAUGACCUGGGCUACACACGUGCUACAAUGGAUGGUACAACGAGUCGCGAGACCGCGAGGUUAAGCUAAUCUCUUAAAACCAUUCUCAGUUCGGACUGUAGGCUGCAACUCGCCUACACGAAGUCGGAAUCGCUAGUAAUCGCGGAUCAGCAUGCCGCGGUGAAUACGUUCCCGGGCCUUGUACACA
Molecule: ribosomal RNA, 1161 nt
Filed under: Pediococcus pentosaceus
Lineage: Bacteria; Bacillati; Bacillota; Bacilli; Lactobacillales; Lactobacillaceae
Description: bacterial SSU rRNA
Rfam family: Bacterial small subunit ribosomal RNA
Source: RNAcentral